RNAcentral lists this ribosomal RNA (468 nucleotides) under uncultured bacterium. RNAcentral's name for it is "partial 16S ribosomal RNA". It matches the Rfam family "Bacterial small subunit ribosomal RNA", at positions 28 to 507 of the family's 1533-position model. The record is from RNAcentral.
GACGAACGCUGGCGGCGUGCUUAACACAUGCAAGUCGAACGGAAAGGCCCUGCUUUUGUGGGGUGCUCGAGUGGCGAACGGGUGAGUAACACGUGAGUAACCUGCCCUUGACUUUGGGAUAACUUCAGGAAACUGGGGCUAAUACCGGAUAGGAGCUCCUGCUGCAUGGUGGGGGUUGGAAAGUUUCGGCGGUUGGGGAUGGACUCGCGGCUUAUCAGCUUGUUGGUGGGGUAGUGGCUUACCAAGGCUUUGACGGGUAGCCGGCCUGAGAGGGUGACCGGCCCCAUUGGGACUGAGAUACGGCCCAGCCUCCUACGGGAGGCAGCAGUGGGGAAUAUUGCACAAUGGGCGGAAGCCUGAUGCAGCAACGCCGCGUGCGGGAUGACGGCCUUCGGGUUGUAAACCGCUUUCGCCUGUGACGAAGCGUGAGUGACGGUAAUGGGUAAAGAAGCACCGGCUAACUACGUG